This 301-nucleotide ribosomal RNA is filed under the name uncultured bacterium. Its description in RNAcentral is "partial 16S ribosomal RNA". It matches the Rfam family "Bacterial small subunit ribosomal RNA", at positions 509 to 807 of the family's 1533-position model. The record is from RNAcentral.
CAGCCGCCGCGGUAAUACGUAGGUGGCAAGCGUUGUCCGGAAUUAUUGAGCGUAAAGGGCUCGCAGGCGGUUUCUUAAGUCUGAUGUGAAAGCCCCCGGCUCAACCGGGGAGGGUCAUUGGAAACUGGGAAACUUGAGUGCAGAAGAGGAGAGUGGAAUUCCACGUGUAGCGGUGAAAUGCGUAGAGAUGUGGAGGAACACCAGUGGCGAAGGCGACUCUCUGGUCUGUAACUGACGCUGAGGGGCGAAAGCGUGGGGAGCGAACAGGAUUAGAUACCCCUGUAGUCCCUGUCUCUUAUAC